Molecule: ribosomal RNA, 440 nt
Filed under: uncultured bacterium
Lineage: Bacteria
Description: bacterial SSU rRNA
Rfam family: Bacterial small subunit ribosomal RNA
Source: RNAcentral
CCUACGGGUGGCUGCAGUGAGGAAUAUUGCGCAAUGGACGAAAGUCUGACGCAGCCAUGCCGCGUGCAGGAUGACGGCCCUACGGGUUGUAAACUGCUUUUAUAUAGGAAGAAACCCCUUUACGUGUAAAGGGCUGACGGUACUAUACGAAUAAGCACCGGCUAACUCCGUGCCAGCAGCCGCGGUAAUACGGAGGGUGCAAGCGUUAUCCGGAUUCAUUGGGUUUAAAGGGUGCGCAGGCGGUCUAUUAAGUCAGAGGUGAAAGUUUGCAGCUCAACUGUAAAAUUGCCUUUGAUACUGAUAGUCUUGAAUUGUAGUGAAGUGGUUAGAAUAUGUGGUGUAGCGGUGAAAUGCAUAGAUAUCACAUAGAAUACCGACUGCGAAGGCAGAUCACUAACUAUAUAUUGACGCUGAGGGACGAAAGCGUGGGGAGCGAACGG